This 468-nucleotide ribosomal RNA is filed under the name uncultured bacterium. RNAcentral describes it as "partial 16S ribosomal RNA". It matches the Rfam family "Bacterial small subunit ribosomal RNA", at positions 28 to 507 of the family's 1533-position model. The record is from RNAcentral.
GACGAACGCUGGCGGCGUGCUUAACACAUGCAAGUCGAACGGAAAGGCCUUGCUUUCGUGGUGUGCUGGGGGGGCGCACGUGUGAGUAACACGUGAGUCACGUGCGCUUUACUUUGGGAUAAUUGCAGGAAACUGGGGCUACUGCCGCUUAUGACCUCCUGCUGCAUGGUGUGGUGUGGAUAGUUUCGGCGGUUGGGGUUGGAGUCGCGGCUUAUCUGCUUGGUGGUGGGGUAGUUGCUUGGCAAGUCGUCGACGGAUGGCGGGCCUGCGAGGUGGACCGGCGACAUUGGGACGAAGAUACGGCCCAGACGCCGACGGGAGGAAGCAGUGGGGAAUAGUGCACAAUGGGCGGAAGCCUGAUGCAGCAACGCCGCGUGCGGGAUGACGGCCUUCGGGUUGUAAACCGCUUGCGACUGUGACGAAGCGGUAGUGACGGUAAUGGGUAAAGAAGCACCGGCUAACUACGUG